GGCGGUUCUCGGGUGAUGCACCCUGGAAUCAGGCUCUCUCCUCUCUGGUUCUGGGUGCAUCACCUGAGAACUGCA
Molecule: non-coding RNA, 75 nt
Organism: Myotis davidii
Lineage: Eukaryota; Metazoa; Chordata; Mammalia; Chiroptera; Vespertilionidae
Source: Rfam